CCUACGGGAGGCAGCAGUGGGGCAUAUUGGGCAAUGGGCGCAAGCCUGACCCAGCAACGCCGCGUGAAGGAAGAAGGCUUUCGGGUUGUAAACUUCUUUUAUCAGGGACGAAGCAAGUGACGGUACCUGAUGAAUAAGCCACGGCUAACUACGUGCCAGCAGCCGCGGUAAUACGUAGGUGGCAAGCGUUAUCCGGAUUUAUUGGGUUGAAAGUGUGCGUAGGCGGAUCGUUAAGUCAGUGGUCAAAUUGAGGGGCUCAACCCCUGCCCGCCAUUGAAACUGGCGCUCUUGAGUGGAAGAGAAGUAUGUGGAAUGCGUGGUGUAGCGGUGAAAUGCAUAGAUAUCACGCAGAACCCCGAUUGCGAAGGCAGCAUGCCGGCUUCCGACUGACGCUGAAGCACGAAAGCGUGGGGAUCGAACAGGAUUAGAUACCCGAGUAGUC
This 442-nucleotide ribosomal RNA is filed under the name uncultured bacterium. RNAcentral describes it as "partial 16S ribosomal RNA". It matches the Rfam family "Bacterial small subunit ribosomal RNA", at positions 338 to 795 of the family's 1533-position model. The record is from RNAcentral.